AGAGUUUGAUUCUGGCUCAGAACGAACGCUGGCAGCGUGGAUUAGGCAUGCAAGUCGAACGAGAAUCCACGGCUUCAAGUUUUCGGACAAGAAGUUGUGGAGGAGAGUGGCGGAAGGGUGAGUAACGCGUGGGCAAUCUGCCCUUGGGUUGGGGACAACCUCGGGAAACCGGGGCUAAUACCGAAUAUGGCACUCCAUCGCAUGAUGGGGAUGUCAAAGGUGGGGAUCUUAACAGACCUGCCGCCCGGGGAGGAGCCCGCGUACGAUCAGCUUGUUGGUGGGGUAACGGCCUACCAAGGCUACGACCGUUAGCUGGUCUGAGAGGAUGGUCAGCCACACUGGGACUGAGACACUGCCCAGACUCCUACGGGAGGCUGCAGUCGAGGAUCAUUCGCAAUGCGCGAAAGCGUGACGAUGCGACGCUGCGUGUAGGAUGACGGCCUUCGGGUUGUAAACUACUGUCAUGAGGGAAGAACCAGCGGUGUAUGAAUAGUGCAUCGCUCUGACGGUACCUCAAGAGGAAGCCACGGCUAACUCUGUGCCAGCAGCCGCGGUAAUACAGAGGUGGCGAGCGUUGUUCGGAUUUACUGGGCGUAAAGCGUGCGUAGGCGGUUUCGUGUGUCGGAUGUGAAAGCCCACGGCUUACCCGUGGAACUGCAUCCGAAACUGCGGGGCUAGAGUGCAGGAGGGGAGAGCGGAAUUCUUAGUGUAGCGGUGAAAUGCGUUGAUAUUAAGAAGAACACCGGCGGCGAAGGCGGCUCUCUGGAAUGUUACUGACGCUGAGGCACGAAAGUUGGGGGAGCAAACAGGAUUAGAUACCCUGGUAGUCCCAACCGUAAACGGUGUGAACUUGGUGUAGGGGGUAUUGACCCCCCCUGUGCCGGAGCUAACGCGUUAAGUUCACCGCCUGGGGAGUACGGUCGCAAGAUUAAAACUCAAAGAAAUUGACGGGGGCCCGCACAAGCGGAGGAGCAUGUGGCUUAAUUCGAUGCAACGCAAGAACCUUACCUGGACUUGACAUGGUACUGCACGCUCCCUGAAAGGGGAGAAGCCUUCGAGGGUGUAUCACAGGUGCUGCAUGGCUGUCGUCAGUUCGUGCCGUGAGGUGUUGGGUUAAGUCCCGCAACGAACGCAACCCUUGUGGCUAGUUGCCAUCGUCGGUGAUGAGCCGACAGGAACUCUAGUCAGACUGCCCGUACAAGCGGGAGGAAGGUGGGGAUGACGUCAAGUCAGUAUGGCCCUUACGUCCAGGGCUGCACACGUGCUACAAUGGCCGGUACAGUAGGAUGCAAUACCGCGAGGUGGAGCUAAUCCCUAAAGCCGGCCCCAGUUCGGAUUGGAGUCUGCAACUCGACUCCAUGAAGUCGGAUUCGCUAGUAACGGCGUAUCAGCUACGACGCCGUGAAUACGUUCCCGGGCCUUGUACACACCGCCCGUCACACCAUGGGAGUUGGUUGCACCAGAAG
RNAcentral lists this ribosomal RNA (1466 nucleotides) under metagenome. Its description in RNAcentral is "bacterial SSU rRNA". It matches the Rfam family "Bacterial small subunit ribosomal RNA". The record is from RNAcentral.